CACGCCGUAAACGAUGAUUACUCGAUGUUGGCGAUACACAGUCAGCGUCUGAGCGAAAGCAAUAAGUAAUCCACCUGGGGAGUACGAUCGCAAGAUUGAAACUCAAAGGAAUUGACGGGGGCCCGCACAAGCGGAGGAGCAUGUGGUUUAAUUCGAUGAUACGCGAGGAACCUUACCUGGGCUCGAACGUAAGAUGACCGUAUGUGAAAGCAUAUUUCCCUUCGGGGCAUUUUACGAGGUGC
This 242-nucleotide ribosomal RNA is filed under the name uncultured Bacteroidota bacterium. Its description in RNAcentral is "uncultured Bacteroidetes bacterium partial 16S ribosomal RNA". It matches the Rfam family "Bacterial small subunit ribosomal RNA", at positions 796 to 1041 of the family's 1533-position model. The record is from RNAcentral. Lineage: Bacteria; Pseudomonadati; Bacteroidota.